This 253-nucleotide ribosomal RNA is filed under the name uncultured bacterium. Its description in RNAcentral is "partial 16S ribosomal RNA". It matches the Rfam family "Bacterial small subunit ribosomal RNA", at positions 524 to 776 of the family's 1533-position model. The record is from RNAcentral.
UACGGAGGGGACUAGCGUUGUUCGGAAUUACUGGGCGUAAAGCGCGCGUAGGCGGAUUUGUAAGUCAGGGGUGAAAUCCCGGGGCUCAACCUCGGAACUGCCUUUGAUACUGCAAAUCUCGAGUCCGGAAGAGGUGAGUGGAAUUCCUAGUGUAGAGGUGAAAUUCGUAGAUAUUAGGAAGAACACCAGUGGCGAAGGCGGCUCACUGGUCCGGUACUGACGCUGAGGCGCGAAAGCCAGGGGAGCAAACGGG